Molecule: long non-coding RNA, 4623 nt
Organism: Prionailurus viverrinus (fishing cat)
Lineage: Eukaryota; Metazoa; Chordata; Mammalia; Carnivora; Felidae
Exons: 16
Source: RefSeq, a predicted model, not a curated record
ACUGUAACCCGAACCGGGAAAGAGGUUCCACCCCUAGAAACCUCCUCCUCCUAUCCUGGUCUAGAAGAUGGUUUAUCUGUAUUAAAUCAUACCAAACAAAGUCUUCCAAAGGCCGACUGCGCCCGGGACUUUUCGAGGCCUUUCUUACCUGCUCUUCUAGGAUGCGGCUGCUGCGCUCUGCGACGGCUCCUCACUAGCUUUAGCACCAGGGCCGCAGCGGCCCGCACACCCGGAGCUGCCCACUCACCCGCUGGCCGCGCGAUCCGCACAACAAAAGCCCUCACUCGUGGAGGGCCACCAGCACGCCGAAUCCGCACUGUGAUCAAAAACGCGCGCACCAUACUUCAGCAGCCGCCACCACCGCUGUGCUCCGAGGCCGCUGCGCCGCCCUUUGGCACCAGAGAGAUCUUCCACUCCUCCAAACCGGAUUAUUUAAAAGAGGAAAAAGAAAGGAAAAGCAAGGUCAUCUCAGCGCUCGAUCAGCCACUCAGGAGGCUGGAUGUCAGUUUUGAAAGAAAUGGCGCUACGCUCCACUUCUUGAUUUGGGAAACGAGCGAAAUUAAAGGAAACCGCUGCCUGCAGCCGACGCGACAUGUGGACACUGAGUGGCGCUGGCGCCGCCGGAGCAGCGGGCCUGGCGCCCCAGCAGGAUCUUUGGGGCGGGAGAACCUGUUUUACACCUAGGCUCCACACCUCCAGGAAGAGAGAAAAAGGGACGUCGGUGAAGAUCUCGGUCCCAGUCGCGUCCCACGGAGGCCGCUCCCCUGCACUCCUGCGCCCCCUGCCGGCGAGGCCCCAGGGCCCCAGCUACCUGGAUUGGGCGCCUUCCGAAGCGGUUGACUCCGUUGGGAUCCGCACCGGCUUCCAAGAGCUGCUGCACAGUGUCCACUUGCCCCCGCGCGGAGGCGUUGGCCAGGCCCGCGCCGUCGCCGCCACCACGGAGCAUGCCCUUGUCCUCCUCGCGCAUUUCGCAGUCCACAGACGCAGACUGGCCCGGAUAAUCCACCACUGGCUGUGAGCUUCGCCACACUCCUCCCUUCUUCCCCACCUCGCCCUGGCGCGCUCACCCCUACGUGGGAGAGCUCAGGCACGCAGAUAACAGAAAUGUGAGGCAAAAGAGCAAGAAAGAGGUAAGAGUAGAAGUGAAAUUUCAUCGUACUUAGGGCAGCUGUAACUAACAUGUGCCACAACGUUUUAGUUUUUGUUCUUUUCUUUACUUGACUGAGAUUUCACAUUUGAUUAUUUCAUGUAAAUUAGAGCGUGAUGGUGGCAGAUUGAAAAACUUUUUAAUCAAAUAUAUUUAUUAAUUAAACAAAAUAAUAAUCCCCAAAAAAGCAUGUUAGUGUAAUUGUGCCCAUUCUAAGAAUGCAGGAUCAAGUGAGAGAAAUCUGAUUAAAACACAUUUUCUUUUCUUUAGUUUUUGGUAUUCUGUUUCUCCAGUUGCUAAUCAGCAAGAAUAUCUUUGUCCUACUGAACCGAGGCAUUUGUUCAAAAGCCUUUGCGCUCUUUGGCAUAAGAGCCUAACUUAUUAAAGACAAAGUUCUCCUAGGUCUCUGCUAAAAAAUAGUGAAAUAAAUAUUUUUAUAAACAUAUUAUCUCAAAGUAUUAAUGCUGGAAGAGACCUACAGGACCAAAGACAGCUCCCUCCCUUUACAGAGAGAAAAAGGUUGAAACAGCAAUGAUUCUGAAAAAUUUCCUUGUGUUUUCAUAACUAAUAUUUUCAUCAUAAAGCUCAUGACAUGCACUUGUUUUUAUUUGCAUGCCUGAAUUUUGGUGGCUCUGAACCAUAUAUGAUGGCUCUGAGGACAAACCAUGUUUGUUUCCCGCCCUGCAAUUUUGGCAGUGUGCUGUGUACUUCCUUGGUACUGAGUAAUCAUUUUUCAACUACCUAAAAGUCUCUCUUUUGAUGAGAAGAAGAAUAAACCUCAUUCUUGUUCAGAUGUAGAGAUCAAGGAAAAGACUUCUGUCUUACUGGCUUCAGAUAUGUUAUCAGCACCUAAAGAAUGGAAAGCUGCAUUAGAGGAGGUUUCCCUUGGGAAGAGAGGCAUUGCAUGUGGCCCUGAGGAUGUAAAGUUGAAUAAGGAUGUUCCUGCCUUUCAAAUGCCAAUAAUCCUUGGAGAAGAUAUGCAAACAUGUGAACACUAUACAAUAUGAUAUGCAUGCCCUUCAAGUCCGUUUCUUAGCCUGUCCACAAACAGUUCUGUCAGCUGCACAGUGACCCGGAGUUCUGCAGCUCCACAUGAGUCUGGGGAAGGGGCAAAGACGCCGGCUGGGCAGCUUGCUGGAGCCAGGUGCUGUCUCCUCUCUAACCACGUUGGCCAGUGUGACCCUGCACACGUGAUGUUAGGGAGUUGAGACCUGGAAAGAUGAAAAGUGAUUUUCCCGAGCACCUAGAUCAUUGUCCUCUUCAGCAUCACAGUAGCAAACAUUUGCUUGCCUAGUGCCAACUACUGAUCUAGGCACUUCCCACGUAUUACUGUUGCUGGAGAGAGGUUGGAGCUAUGGCUGCUGGACUAAGUUGAGAGAUACCACGAAAGAGAAGAGGAUCCCGAGAGAUGUUGCGAGUUCUGACAGGUAGCAGCUUCACCUAUGGGGAGACAGGCUGGUUGUAAACCAGAAAACAGGUCAGGAACGCCUGAAAACUCUGCCCAUACAUUGUGAAGAACUUCCUGAGGAAGUUUCCUAAAUUGGACACCAAGUAUGAAGCGGACCCCUGGUGCCGGAUCUUGGUGUGCAAAAGAGGCAACUUGGACACAGAGACGGUGCAGAGAUGGCCAUGUGAAGACACAGACACACAAGGAGAAUGCCAUGUGAAGAAGGAGACAGAGGUUGGAAUGAUGUUUCUCUAAGCCAAGGAAUGCCAAGAAUUCCUGACCAUCACGAAGCUAGGACAGAGGCAUGGAGCAGAUUUCUCUCAGCGCCCUUUGAAGAUACAUCUUAACCGUCUAUUAUGGGUACGAAUUAUUGUCAAGAGAUGGAGAAGUAUAUAGUCUUGUGUGCCUCUUUGUCACGUGUCAAUACUGGAGAAGAAACUGAUCAUUAUUGGAAGAAGGAAGAAAAUACAGACGGAUGACAGAGGGAGGUAGAGGUCUGAGACUUCUAAAUGUGAUCAGAAGAAACAGUCAAAUAUUACUGAGCUGCUUUCUCCAAAGCUGUUUUGACCAGACCUUCCCCUCAGCUGCCUGUACUGAAUGCAUGAAUAGAAUCGCUUCCAGAUCUUUACAACAUUGUGCUGGUGAAUACAGACUAAUUACCCAGUUGAAUGGUGACUGCAGCAUUGGCUGACAGCAAGACUGAAACCUCCUGUGAGACCCUGAACUCCUGUUAGAUGCUGAACUACUCAGUGCAUGCUGAUGAAGCACCACGAGGGCUGUUUCCACCGCCUCUGUAUCUUCAAGAAGACUGGGUCAAUCCUGUUCAUCAGGGCAAUUCCUGGAGCUGGUUUCUGUAGGUACUCUAGAAGAAAUUCCCACUAGGUUUGCUCUUUCUUUCUUUCUUUCUUUCUUUUCUUUCUUUCUUUCUUUCUUUCUUUCUUUCUUUCUUUCUUUUUCUUUCUUUCUUUCUUUCUUUCUUUCUUUCUUUCUUUCUUUCUUUCUUUCUUCUUUUUUAUAGGGCAUGCAAGGAAUAGCUCUGACUCUUAUCAAGAAUGACCAAGGACUCUGGCUGAACUGCCUGAGCACAUGAAAUCCACCAUUCUUAAAACAUAUGCAGAUAGUGGCUCAUCACAAUUAUGUAUUUCAUUUCACAUAUAUCAUUGGAGCAUAAGUUCAAAAAGUACUACUAUUGGUAUCAGUUUUAUUUUCAAGACCUACAGGCUUCAAGCACUUUAGAGAGUAGUCUGUUGGCUGAAAGAAAAUGUCUCUUUAUAAAGUGGCUUUUGUUUAAUGAUUCUUAAGCUUUAUAAGGCAGACCCAGAGGUACUUACCAAGACCUUAGUGUAGUAAACUAGUGCUUCUUAAACUAUUUAUGGUGAAGGAUAUUUUUCUUAACCAAUUCUUUUUUGCAUUCCUCCAUUUUAAGUUUAUGACUUCAUUUUCUUCUCUCUCUUGGUUUGUAACUUAAAGGGGACAGAGUUUAUCAGGUAUUGACUUAAUUUAUUGUUUCUCUUGUUUUUCCCCUUCCCAAGUAUAGGCAUCAAGAGCAAUAAAUCUCCUCUACGUACUACAUUGGCAGCAUCCCUGUAGACUCUUGUAAUUUUUUUCUGUUGCAUCUUAAAUGUCUCCCCAACCAAAAGUUUAUUUAAGAAGAAUUUACUCUCCUAAAUGCAAUAAGAAAAAGAGCUGAAAAAGAGGUACAACUAGAGGAAGGAAAUGGCAUACGAUAAAAUGAUCAGUUGUUGAUAUUAUGAUAUUACACCCAAGAUAAUCAAAUGAAAAUUAGUCAACACUUAGUUAAAGUGAAGAGAUGUAAAAUAAAUAUUACCAAAAUGAUUCCUUUCGUCCUUUAUACUAAGAAUUAGAAAACAAAACAGUAGGCAGACCCCAUACACGAUAACAACUAUAAAAAUAAAUCAUCCUAAAAUUAGUUUACCAAUAAAUAUGCAGAAAGUAUAUGAAAACUACAAAAUUUACUACGAGUUAUAAAAAGACAAUGGGGCACCUGGGUGGCUUAGUUGGUUAAGCU